GAUGAACGCUGGCGGCGUGCCUAAUACAUGCAAGUCGAGCGAACGGACGAGAAGCUUGCUUCUCUGAUGUUAGCGGCGGACGGGUGAGUAACACGUGGAUAACCUACCUAUAAGACUGGGAUAACUUCGGGAAACCGGAGCUAAUACCGGAUAAUAUUUUGAACCGCAUGGUUCAAAAGUGAAAGACGGUCUUGCUGUCACUUAUAGAUGGAUCCGCGCUGCAUUAGCUAGUUGGUAAGGUAACGGCUUACCAAGGCAACGAUGCAUAGCCGACCUGAGAGGGUGAUCGGCCACACUGGAACUGAGACACGGUCCAGACUCCUACGGGAGGCAGCAGUAGGGAAUCUUCCGCAAUGGGCGAAAGCCUGACGGAGCAACGCCGCGUGAGUGAUGAAGGUCUUCGGAUCGUAAAACUCUGUUAUUAGGGAAGAACAUAUGUGUAAGUAACUGUGCACAUCUUGACGGUACCUAAUCAGAAAGCCACGGCUAACUACGUGCCAGCAGCCGCGGUAAUACGUAGGUGGCAAGCGUUAUCCGGAAUUAUUGGGCGUAAAGCGCGCGUAGGCGGUUUUUUAAGUCUGAUGUGAAAGCCCACGGCUCAACCGUGGAGGGUCAUUGGAAACUGGAAAACUUGAGUGCAGAAGAGGAAAGUGGAAUUCCAUGUGUAGCGGUGAAAUGCGCAGAGAUAUGGAGGAACACCAGUGGCGAAGACGACUUUCUGGUCUGUAACUGACGCUGAUGUGCGAAAGCGUGGGGAUCAAACAGGAUUAGAUACCCUGGUAGUCCACGCCGUAAACGAUGAGUGCUAAGUGUUAGGGGGUUUCCGCCCCUUAGUGCUGCAGCUAACGCAUUAAGCACUCCGCCUGGGGAGUACGACCGCAAGGUUGAAACUCAAAGGAAUUGACGGGGACCCGCACAAGCGGUGGAGCAUGUGGUUUAAUUCGAAGCAACGCGAAGAACCUUACCAAAUCUUGACAUCCUUUGACAACUCUAGAGAUAGAGCUUUCCCCUUCGGGGGACAAAGUGACAGGUGGUGCAUGGUUGUCGUCAGCUCGUGUCGUGAGAUGUUGGGUUAAGUCCCGCAACGAGCGCAACCCUUAAGCUUAGUUGCCAUCAUUAAGUUGGGCACUCUAAGUUGACUGCCGGUGACAAACCGGAGGAAGGUGGGGAUGACGUCAAAUCAUCAUGCCCCUUAUGAUUUGGGCUACACACGUGCUACAAUGGACAAUACAAAGGGCAGCGAAACCGCGAGGUCAAGCAAAUCCCAUAAAGUUGUUCUCAGCUCGGAUUGUAGUCUGCAACUCGACUACAUGAAGCUGGAAUCGCUAGUAAUCGUAGAUCAGCAUGCUACGGUGAAUACGUUCCCGGGUCU
Molecule: ribosomal RNA, 1372 nt
Filed under: uncultured bacterium
Lineage: Bacteria
Description: bacterial SSU rRNA
Rfam family: Bacterial small subunit ribosomal RNA
Source: RNAcentral